This 407-nucleotide long non-coding RNA is filed under the name Anneissia japonica. RNAcentral's name for it is "uncharacterized LOC117101253, transcript variant X2". Lineage: Eukaryota; Metazoa; Echinodermata; Crinoidea; Comatulida; Comatulidae. The record is from RNAcentral.
GGCCAACAUCAUUUUUACAGAUAGAAAUAGGUGACACUUUCCUUUAGAUCAACGAGACGAGUUGAUGUGCAACAUCUGUAUAGUGAUUAUGAGAUGAGUCAUCAUAUCAUAAAGUUAAAAAUUUGUGGAGUUACAAAAUAAAUUUCUGCAAUCAAUUUAGAAAAUACAGUUAACCUGAUCCUUCUACGUGUAUGUUCACAAAUAUAAUCUUAUUCAUAAAUAAAUGGAUGGAACUUAGCUUAUUGUUGGAGGAUUCAAAUUCAAACAAAGCAACUUGAAAAUGAACUGCUAAAAAAUGUGACGUUAUAUUAUUUCUGCAAAUGGUAACAUGCCAACUGUACUAUUAUUUAACAGACUUACUGAGAGACAGGCAUCAAUCUUCCACAAAUAAAGACAUACUGUAGUAC